CAAAGCUGCUGCUGUGAUAAUCAUCCCUGGAUCCUGGAACACAGAAUGACAGGGGAGCCUUCUUUCAGCUAGAUGGAAAACAAAAGUCAAAGCCAAUUCCUGCAUUUUUAAUCAAGCCAGGAUACAAUGAGGAUAAACGGCAGGUAAAUAAGUGAUGAAUUAGCUUACUUCAAACUCUCUGAAGAUCAGCACUAGCACAGAUUCUUUGAAAGAUCUGAAGCAGCAAAUAGCAGAUUAUGCAAGGACUCUCCCAGGAAAACCUCAGCUUCAUCUCUGUGAUAGCGGUGCUCAACCAAGGCUGCAACCUGCUUGAUUUGGUGUUACGUGUCCAACGUGAGAGUCCUUUUAGAGUGAAGCACACAGCAAGCAAGAAUCAGGGAGAGCAGGAACCAGACCAGAUUAGAGAAUGACUCAGAACGUUAACAAAGAAAACAACACGCAGGAGUUGGCUGUG
Molecule: long non-coding RNA, 454 nt
Organism: Lagopus leucura (white-tailed ptarmigan)
Lineage: Eukaryota; Metazoa; Chordata; Aves; Galliformes; Phasianidae
Exons: 4
Source: RefSeq, a predicted model, not a curated record